AAAAAAGACAGUUGUUUUUAAUUGGUCUCCGACAAAGGGGCGGGGCCUCGAGCGGUGUCGGCGUUUGAUGACGUCCCUGAUCGGCGCUGGACUUGUCUCGUGGAUUGUGGACCAGACAGAAACAUGACCUCAGCCCUGGAGAACUACAUCAACCGUAUCCUUACUGGGGGGGUCUCAUGGGGGGGAGAGGAGCUGCUAGGACCCCUAUUACUUAAUUCUGAUUAAUUACAAUAAAUAUAAUCACCCCCCUGCCCCCCCAUUAAUAUAUUAAUAUACAGAAUUUAUUUAACAGUCUGUGUUUUAAUAUACAGAAUUUAUUUAAUAGUCUGUGUUUAAUAUACAGAAUUUAUUUAAUAGUCUGUGUUUAAUAUACAGAAUUUAUUUAAUAGUCUGUGGUUAAUAUACAGAAUUUAUUUAAUAGUCUGUGGUUAAUAUACAGCAUUUAUUUAAUAGUUGGUGUUUCUCCUUUAAACAGCAGCCCUGAUAUCCUUGAUAUAACCCAUAACAUACUUAUCUAGUUGUUUUUUUUUUUUUUUUAAAUCCUGAACUAUAGAUGUGUCCAGGGAAACCCUAAUAAAGGGCUAAUUUGUCCCCACUGCACUCCAUUCAGAUCACUUUUUAUAGUUGCUCAUUAGCUGGUGAAAGAAAGAUGGAAUAACUAUUAAUGUAUGUACCUGGGUACCAUUUAGCAAAAUGCUGCUGUUUUGUGCCUUAAUUUAUUUUCUUUUUUUGAAUGUAAAAGGUACAAGAUGUCACACAGCAGUGCAGAUAAUGAUCCAAAAAGUGUGAAAACAAACAGGCAUACAAUAUUAGAACUCAGAGAAUUACAGUAACAUUGUACAGUGUUUGAAGGUAGAGAUGGAGAGGUAGUAUGCAAAGCUUCAUAUAUAGAUAGUAACCAUGCACUGUGGUCUUUCUGCCUUCAUUUUAUGUGUUAUAUGAUAUAUAAAUAAUAGGAAAAUAAGUGUUUUCUGAUAAAAGAUUCCCUUGCAAGCUCCAGGUGAUUUGGUAGGCACGGGUCGUAAGCUUAUCACGUUUGAUGAUGUCCGUUAACCAAAAGUAUUGUUUUAAUGGGCAUACUUAAAUUCUUCUUAUAGGUCAGUAUGCUAUCUAUGAUGCGGUUUUUGUAUAGCUUUGCUCCCGUAAUAGUAAGACUUCCUUGACAGAUGAUUCAGGAACGGUUGCGGUCAUUACGGCAGAUGGAAGAAUGAUUGUGGUAUGAUACAUAUAGUUAUUUUGUUAAUCCAAUUUUUUUUGUUUAGUUUGCACACUAAUGACCACAUGUUAAUGUGCUGCUAUCUCUUUAACAUUUAAUCUGUGUUGCUGAUGGAUCAGACCUGUCAGUUUUCAGUCUUUUUUUUUUUUUAGCAAUGGGAGGCAGACCAAUCACAAGGUGUCAAUAUUUAUGUAAUCUUUAAAAGAACACUUCUUGUGUAAUUGUUUACAAUUAUUAUUAUUUUUUUAAACUUACAUGACCUGCUAAGCUCUCUGGACAUUGUCAUGUGAAUUAAAAUGAACCUUGCAGUAUGUUUCCUAUCAAUUUCAACACAUACCCAAAGCAUUAAGGGUGCAAAUUCUCCCUUAACACUAACGUGAAGUAGAGGUAAGUUUGUUUAUUUACCUCUACUGCAUUAGUCACUGAGCAGACCCUUCAAAAGUAUUUAUUGGAACAAGGAACAGUCACUUGUAGAAAAGUGAUGCUUCCACUUAAAGGGGCAAUAUAGUGACCAGAACAACUACAGCUUAUUGAAUUUGUUCUGGUGAGUAGAAUCCUUACCUUCAGGCUUUUUGCUGUAAACCAUGUCUUUUCAGAGAAAAUGCAGUGUUUACAUUACAGCCUAGUGAUAACUUCACUGGCCACUCCUCAGAUGGCUGUUAGAGAUCCUUUCUGGGUCAUGGCUGCCUAAAAUGCAUCCAAACAUUUAGUAUCUCCUCCCUCUGCAUGCAGACACUGAACUUUCCUCAUAGAGAUUAAUUGAUUCAAUUCAUCUCUAUGAGGAGAUUCUGAUUGGCCAGGGCUGUGUUUGAAUCGUGCUGGCUCUGCCCCUGAUCUGCCUUUUUUGUCAGUCUCAGCCAAUCCUAUGGGGAAGCACUGUGUUUGGAUCAGGCUACCACUUCUGAUGAUGUCAGCAGACUGCUUGUUUUUCUGAGUCAAACUGCAUGCAGAGUUACAGCUUCAGGCUUGAAUACAGUAAGAUUUUGCUAUAUUUAUGGAGGCAUGGGGGGCUAGAUGGUGGUUUUAACACUAGGGUCAGGAAUACAUGUUUGUGUUCCUGACCCUAUACUGAUCCUUUAAACAGUUGUUUUGAAUCUUACAUCUCUUUAUAUAAAAAUGUUUAAUGGAACCACACCCUUAGUAGAAAGCACAGCUAUUAAGUGCCAUUAUUUGGAAACAGAAUCAUAAACAAUGGGAUUGUUCCAGUUGUCUUUUUAAAUGGUGUUUGAACAUGUCUUUUGUCGUGCCAAGAUCUCUUCAUGCUUACAUAUAUUCUGCUUUUGGACAACCAGCCUUUGAUUUUGAAUAUGUGACACCCUUAGAAAUGUAGAGGUAACUGCAGUAAUAUAAACUGAUAUUUACAUUGUUUUCUAAGACAUAUGUUUGUGUGUUUAUUUCAGGGAACUCUCAAAGGCUUUGAUCAGACGAUUAACUUGAUUUUGGAUGAAAGUCAUGAAAGAGUAUUUAGUUCUAACCAAGGAGUGGAACAAGUUGUGCUGGGACUGUACAUUGUAAGGGGAGACAAUGUGUGAGUAUUCUUACCCAUCAAAAUGACUUCUGUUAGAAAUGGAUGCCUUGCUGACUGGCGGAUGCUGUGCUUUGAAGUUAUUUGAACAGUGGCCUCCUUAUCUCUUCUGUUCAGCAUAAUUAGUUUGUUUACCAUUUAUUUGUUGGUUUUAAUUAUUUAUUUAUAAAAUAUUUUACCAGGAAAGAUACAUUGAGAUUUCUCUCGUUUUCAAGUAUAUCCUGGGUCCACAAACCAUUGCAUUGAUACAUUGUGGUACAAUAAAAUACAAAAAAAAUAUUAAUACACAAUAUAUAUAAAAUUUAACAUAGAACAGGUAGGAAAUAUAUAAUCAACCAUAACAGAUGCAUUCUGUUUUGAGAUAUGUAGAGAGGGAUCUCUUAAAGGACUUUAGGCUUUACCUUUAUUUAUAAAGCCCCAAUUUAUUUCACAUAUUUCCCACUGCAAUUAUGUGAAAUAAAUUGGGGCUUUAUAAAUAAAGGUAAUAAUAAAAGUAACUAUUCUAUGCAGUAUUGCAGUUCAUGUAGAAAUACUAUUCUGUAUCCAAUCUUGUUCACAUUUGUUUCAUGUUAUUGUUUUAAAGGAACACACCGAAUCCUUAACUCAUUUCAGCUUGCUGAAGUACUUUAUGGCUUUUAAUAGAAUGCCCCUUAAAAGUCCCCCUCACCCCCCCUUUUUUAAAAUUUAUUAUAAAUUCUUGAUUUUUGCAGUGCAACAGUAAAUGUAAAGAGUAAUAUAGACAACGAACAAUGCUUAUUCAACUACGUCCUGCACUAUUUUUGUGUUAUAAGACAUAUGUAGUAAACAAAAUAGAUGACCUGUCCGAUGGCAUAGUGAGUAGGAAACAUCAACUUUAUAGAAACGCUUGUCAAGGACAUUGUGAAAGUUACUGCAAAAUAUAAUACACCAAAAUUUGCCGCUGGAGAUAUAGAGAUAUGUGGCUCAACAGGCUAUUGAAAAUGACAACGGUAUAGAGUCUUCCAGGCACCCCUCCCAACCACCCUGAUGAGUCACGGUGUAACUUAAGUUGCACAAGUGAAGGCAAAAGGAGCCAAAAUAAUACACAAGAAAUUAUAAGAAAAACAGAGCUCUACGGGAAGAUUCAUAGGUGACAUACCAUUAGCUGCAUAUAUAUUGCAGCAAAAUAUAAAAGAAACUGCACUCGUUGAAAUGAGCCAAAGGGGGUGCUACCAGGCCAGGAGCUAGCACAAUCCUGAAACAGUAGAUUUCAAGUGGAAAAAGAAAGGCCCAGGCACUCAUGCUCAAAAGUUAAUAUUUAUUUGGAAGACAGUAUCCAGCAAUGCUUUGACUCAAAUGGGUCUUUGUCACAUUAGCUGCAAGCUUGACUGCAAGAGGUCUAGUUCCGGUUCAGCCUAUUCACUUCUGGGUCAAAACAAAUUCCUGCUCUCGCUGGCUUGUCUUUGGGGAGAGUAUCCCUAGUGGUGGCAGCCCGCUUGGGUGUGGAGGUGGACCCAAUGAGAAAGUAGACAUCUAUCCCAGUGGCUUAGCUGUUUGGGUAGGUACUGGAUGCUGCUCCUGUAAACAAAGGCCUGUUAGUUUGCAGCGCCCAACUUCACUGUGAUGAUCUGGGUGUCUUCACCUUAACCAGUACGUUCUGCCUCUAAGUAUUUCACUUCUCUCGAGUGUCUCAUUGCAGACUCCUGGGUGUGUGGACGGUCAGCCCCUGCACAGCCCAUCUCUUCAGUCGCUUGGUUACCUUCCUCCUGAAUUGUUCGUAAAGAGUGCAUCAAACUUGGUGAAGAUAUGUUUGCUCACUACAUGAGCCUAGCAAACUCAAGGCAUCUGCCGUUUUUGGUAGCACGCUGUGGUUUCCGAGUUCUCAGAUAUCACCAAACAGGCAUUGAGAGCAUGGGACCUCCAGGGUGAGGACCGGGAUCACCCCUACCACACCAGCAAAAUAGACAUAAAUGCCGCUGUCAGCCAUUGCACAGUGGUCUAGCUGAAUUUCUGACAGAAUAAAAGUGCCCCAAUAGGGAAUCAAGGAGUUAAUAAUUAGGAAACCGUUUAGGGGCUCUCGCUUAGAGAAUCCAAUCCAGCCAGCAAGGCGGUCAAGCCCUGCCCUGCACCUGAUGUUUUAUAAAGCUCUCCAAGCUAUGAAUAAAACAGCCAGGAGGGUACACUUACAAUGAUUGCUUUAUGUCCCUGCUCAAAUCAGAGCAAAUAUUUUUAAAUAUUCAACAAUAAACGUUUUCUGCAUCUAAAAGUGUCCGUAAAGGCAUUUAAUAUGGUUUUAUAUUGUCUAGCACUUUAACACUUUUUUUUUUUUCUCCUUGUUUACAGGGCAGUUAUUGGAGAAAUUGAUGAAGAGACAGACUCUGCAUUGGAUUUGGGGAACAUCCGAGCAGAACCUCUAAAUUCUGUUGUAAAUUGAAGAGAAUUGGGUGGGAUGGUGUAUAAACCUUGAGCUAUAUAUUACUUGAUGCAAUAUUUUUUACAAAUGUUUAUGAAUUGGAAAUCCUUACCCUAUUUACAUGUUUUAUUGUGAAUGUGUUCUAGUUUGAUAUGUAAAUUAAAGUGUUUCUACGUUUUUGUUUUAAGGCUGUUUUGUUCAUUUUACUCCAGUAAUAUGUAAUUACCUUUGCUCCUCUCGUGGUAUUUUUAUACAAUGGAAUGAAUC
This is a non-coding RNA of Pelobates cultripes (western spadefoot toad), 5379 nucleotides long. Lineage: Eukaryota; Metazoa; Chordata; Amphibia; Anura; Pelobatidae. The record is from the annotation of a GenBank genome assembly.